CUUUAUCCUUCACAUUUUCGCCCUUUCUCCCCUCACAUUUCCCACUUUUCCCCCUCACAUUUCCUACCUCUUAUCCCUUGCAUUUUCUGCCCUUUCCCCCCCUCAACAUUUCCCACCAUUUUCCCCUUACAUUUCCGACCUCUCAUCCCUCACAUUUCCCCCUCACAUUUCUCACCUUUUAUCCUUCACGUCUUCGCCCUUUUCCCCUCACGAUUCCCGCCCCUUUCUCCCCUCACGAUUCCCGCCCCUUUCUCCCCUCACGAUUCCCGCCCCUUUCUUCCCCUCACGAUUCCCGCCCUUUUUCUCCCCUCACGUUUCCCGCCCUUUUUCCACCGUUUUCCCCUCACAUUUUGGGGGCUCCUUUUGGGGUGCAGCAGACGGACAGACAGACACGAACCCCGCCCAGGUACGAAGCAACGGCGCUGUUUAUUUACAACGGGAGGGGCUGCAGCCCCCCAAAAUCCAAAAUAUUAUCCUUCAAACAAAGAGGGGAAGGGAAUAAAAGGUGGGAGGGGGGUGCAGGGAACGUUUAGAAAAAUAACACACAUGAAAAAACUUGUUUCCAAAACCUCAAGAGUUUGGGGGGAGGGACCCCCAAAUCCCUCUCCCCAGUUCAGGGGUUGAGACACCCCAAAACCUCGUGAAUUGGGGUACGGGACCCCCAAACUUCGUGCCCUUGGGGGGGGUAAAAAACCCCAAAACCCCCUGAACUUAGUGGGGUCCCCCGAAUUUUAACUGGGACCCUGAAACCUCAUAACAUGGGGCAGGGAACCCCAAAAUUCUCUUAUUUUGGGGGAAGGGACCCCCAAAACUCCCUCUUCUAGGGGAGUUUUCCCCAAAUCUUACUUGGGGGUGUGGGGCCCCCAAAUUCUCCUUUUCUGGGGGGCGGGACACCCCAAAAUUUCAUGAUUUGGGGCAAAGAACACCCCAAAAUCCCCCUAUUUUAGGGGGAGUCCCCCAAAUCUUUUUGUCUGGGGUGAAGGACCCCCAAACCCUCCUUUCCUGGGGUUAGGGGACCCCAAAAUCUCAUAAUUUGGGGUAGGGGACCCCCAAAACCUCCCCUAUCUGAAGGGGGCUCCCCCAAUCUUAAUUUGGGGUGAGGGAACCCCUUCCCCCAAACCUUCCCAUCUUGGGGGUGGGGGACCCAAAAAAACUCAUGAUUUGGGGUAAGAGCCCCCCCAAAUCUUGUACCCCAAAAUGGGACCCCAAAACCCUCCUGUCCUGCAGAUGAGGGACCCCAAAACCCCCCUAUAUU
Molecule: long non-coding RNA, 1255 nt
Filed under: Serinus canaria (Common canary)
Lineage: Eukaryota; Metazoa; Chordata; Aves; Passeriformes; Fringillidae
Description: lncRNA (ENSSCAG00000001127.1)
Source: RNAcentral